This 148-nucleotide non-coding RNA is filed under the name Pan troglodytes (chimpanzee). Lineage: Eukaryota; Metazoa; Chordata; Mammalia; Primates; Hominidae. The record is from Rfam by way of RNAcentral.
GCCAGGUGUGGUGGUGUGUGCCUGUAGUCCCAGCUACUUGGGAGGCUGAGGUGGGAGGAUUGCUUGAGCCCAGGAGUUUGAGGCUGCAGUGAGCUAUGAUCGUGCCACUGCACUCCAACCUGGGUGACAGAGCGAGACCUUGUUUCAA